Long non-coding RNA from Lemur catta (Ring-tailed lemur), 540 nucleotides. RefSeq lists it as uncharacterized. The record is from RefSeq and is a predicted model, not a curated record. Lineage: Eukaryota; Metazoa; Chordata; Mammalia; Primates; Lemuridae. The transcript is spliced from 6 exons.
CGCAGGCGCCGGCGGGCGCGUCCACACCGCGGGUCGCUCGCUGCCGGGUCCGCUCGGGCGCGGGUCGCGCUCCGCAAUCAUGGGUCUCCCGGUGCAAGUCGUUUAUUGUGGAGCUUGAGGCUACAAGUCCAAGUAUCUUCAGCUCAAGAAGAAGUUAGAAGAUGAGUUCCCCGGGUGCCUGGACAUCUGUGGCGAGGGGACUCCUCAGGCCACUGGGUUCUUUGAAGUUACGGUAGCCGGGAAGUUGGUUCACUCCAAGAAGAGAGGCGAUGGCUACGUGGACACAGAGAGCAAGUUUCUGAAGCUGGUGGCCGCCAUCAAAGCCGCUUUGGCUCGGGCCUGAUGUGCCCUGAAGGCAGAGUCCAGAGGCCUUGACCCCGCCCCUCUCGGCAGACGCUUCGUGACAGGAAGGACUGAAAUGUCUCGUGGACGCCUGGUCUUUCCUCGAUGUUCCUGCGGCCGCCGUGUGGGGGCAGAGAUCGACGCCCCUGGUCUUUGCCCGUGUGGGAGUGUGUGUGUGUUUCCCCCAGAAUCUCCCUU